RNAcentral lists this ribosomal RNA (1244 nucleotides) under metagenome. RNAcentral's name for it is "SSU rRNA". It matches the Rfam family "Eukaryotic small subunit ribosomal RNA", at positions 483 to 1761 of the family's 1831-position model. The record is from RNAcentral.
AGACCGUUCUCUUCAGAGGCCGGUCAUUGGAAUGGGUACAAUUUAAACCCUUUAACGAGUAUCUAUGAGAGGGCAAGUCUGGUGCCAGCAGCCGCGGUAAUUCCAGCUCUCAAAAUGCAUAGAAUCAUUGCUGCGGUUAAAAAGCUCGUAGUUGGAUCUGUGCUGGCGGGUCGGUCCACCUUCGGGUGCGCACUGAUUUCGCCGGCUUUCCUGCUGUAUUUGGCCCUGUGCCUUUCAACGGGUGCAGUGUCCAGUGCAGCAAGUUUACCUUGAACAAAUCAGAGUGCUUCAAACAGGCGUUUCGCUUGAAUGUUCGUGCAUGGAAUAAUAGAAGAGGAUUUCGGUUCAAUUUUAUUGGUUUUAUAGACUGAGAUAAUGGUUAACAGAGACUAACGGGGGCAUUAGUAUUGCUACGUGAGAGGUGAAAUUCUUGGACCGUAGCAAGACUGACUACAGCGAAAGCAUUUGCCAAGAAAGUCUUCAUUAAUCAAGAACGAAAGUCAGAGGUUCGAAGGCGAUCAGAUACCGCCCUAGUUCUGACCGUAAACGAUGCCAACUAGUGAUCCGCCGGUGGAACAUUCGCCCUGGUGGGGAACUUCCCGGAAACGAAAGUCUUCCGGUUCCGGGGGAAGUAUGGUUGCAAAGCUGAAACUUAAAGGAAUUGACGGAAGGGCACCACCAGGAGUGGAGCCUGCGGCUUAAUUUGACCCAACACGGGAAAACUCACCCGGCCCGGACACCGUAAGGAUUGACAGAUUGAUAGCUCUUUCAUGAUUCGGUGGAUGGUGGUGCAUGGCCGUUCUUAGUUCGUGGAGCGAUUUGUCUGGUUUAUUCCGAUAACGAGCGAGACUCUGGCCUACUAAAUAGUUUACACAUUGCUUCUGUGUGCAUAACUUCUUAGAGGGAUUUUCGGUGUUCAGCCGCAAGAAAUUGAGCAAUAACAGGUCUGUGAUGCCCUUAGAUGUCCGGGGCUGCACGCGCGCUACACUGGCAAAAUCAGCGUGCUUGUCCUUCCCCGAAAGGGGUUGGUAAACUCGUGAAAAUUUGCCGUGAUUGGGAUCGGAAAUUGCAAUUAUUUUCCGUGAACGAGGAAUUCCAAGUAAGUGCGAGUCAUCAACUCGCGUUGAUUACGUCCCUGCCCUUUGUACACACCGCCCGUCGCUGCCCGGGACUGAGCCGUUUCGAGAAACUUGGAGACCGCUGAUUUGGUAACUUCGAUUGCCAUUUUGGUGGGAACCAAUUUA